Molecule: long non-coding RNA, 376 nt
Filed under: Oryza sativa (Asian cultivated rice)
Lineage: Eukaryota; Viridiplantae; Streptophyta; Magnoliopsida; Poales; Poaceae
Description: long non-coding RNA (OSAT_LNC001781)
Source: RNAcentral
GCCGCCGACCACUCCCCGUUCAACCCCCCCGUCAUCGUCCUCCGCCGCUCCGCAUCCCCCGACGACGCCACCACCUUCGAUCUCCUCUACGACGACGGCGCCUCCUCCGCCCUCCGCCCCCUCUUCGACCGCCUCCUCCUCCGCAUCCCCUCCGCCUCCGACAACCCCAACCCCCCGGCCUCCAAAGCCGCCGUCGACUCCAUGCCCACCAUCCUCAUCGGGGCCUGCCACCUCGCCGCCGACUCCCACUGCGCCGUCUGCAAGGAACCCUUCCACCUCGCCGCCGAGGCCAGGGAGAUGCCCUGCGCCCACAUCUACCACCACAAUUGCAUCCUCCCCUGGCUCGCUCUCCACAACUCAUGCCCCGUCUGCCGCC